RNAcentral lists this ribosomal RNA (255 nucleotides) under Klebsiella pneumoniae. RNAcentral describes it as "partial 16S ribosomal RNA". It matches the Rfam family "Bacterial small subunit ribosomal RNA", at positions 54 to 307 of the family's 1533-position model. RNAcentral also lists the same sequence under 2 other names. Lineage: Bacteria; Pseudomonadati; Pseudomonadota; Gammaproteobacteria; Enterobacterales; Enterobacteriaceae. The record is from RNAcentral.
CAUGCAAGUCGAGCGGUAGCACAGAGAGCUUGCUCUCGGGUGACGAGCGGCGGACGGGUGAGUAAUGUCUGGGAAACUGCCUGAUGGAGGGGGAUAACUACUGGAAACGGUAGCUAAUACCGCAUAAUGUCGCAAGACCAAAGUGGGGGACCUUCGGGCCUCAUGCCAUCAGAUGUGCCCAGAUGGGAUUAGCUAGUAGGUGGGGUAACGGCUCACCUAGGCGACGAUCCCUAGCUGGUCUGAGAGGAUGACCAG